Molecule: ribosomal RNA, 495 nt
Filed under: uncultured bacterium
Lineage: Bacteria
Description: partial 16S ribosomal RNA
Rfam family: Bacterial small subunit ribosomal RNA
Source: RNAcentral
GACGAACGCUGGCGGCGUGCCUAAUACAUGCAAGUAGAACGCUGAAGGAGGAGCUUGCUCUUCUGGAUGAGUUGCGAACGGGUGAGUAACGCGUAGGUAACCUGCCUGGUAGUGGGGGAUAACUAUUGGAAACGAUAGCUAAUACCGCAUAAUAACAGUUGUUGCAUGACAACUGUUUGAAAGGUGCAAUUGCAUCACUACCAGAUGGACCUGCGUUGUAUUAGCUAGUUGGUGGGGUAACGGCUCACCAAGGCGACGAUACAUAGCCGACCUGAGAGGGUGAUCGGCCACACUGGGACUGAGACACGGCCCAGACUCCUACGGGAGGCAGCAGUAGGGAAUCUUCGGCAAUGGACGAAAGUCUGACCGAGCAACGCCGCGUGAGUGAAGAAGGUUUUCGGAUCGUAAAGCUCGGUUGUAAGAGAAGAACGAGUGUGAGAGUGGAAAGUUCACACUGUGACGGUAUCUGACCAGAAAGGGACGGCUAACUACGUG